RNAcentral lists this ribosomal RNA (485 nucleotides) under uncultured bacterium. RNAcentral's name for it is "partial 16S ribosomal RNA". It matches the Rfam family "Bacterial small subunit ribosomal RNA", at positions 28 to 507 of the family's 1533-position model. The record is from RNAcentral.
GAUGAACGCUAGCUACAGGCUUAACACAUGCAAGUCGAGGGGCAGCAUGACCUAGCAAUAGGUUGAUGGCGACCGGCGCACGGGUGAGUAACACGUAUCCAACCUGCCGAUUAUUCCGGGAUAGCCUUUCGAAAGAAAGAUUAAUACUGGAUAGCAUAACGAGAAGGCAUCUUCUUGUUAUUAAAGAAUUUCGAUAAUCGAUGGGGAUGCGUUCCAUUAGUUUGUUGGCGGGGUAACGGCCCACCAAGACAUCGAUGGAUAGGGGUUCUGAGAGGAAGGUCCCCCACAUUGGAACUGAGACACGGUCCAAACUCCUACGGGAGGCAGCAGUGAGGAAUAUUGGUCAAUGGACGAGAGUCUGAACCAGCCAAGUAGCGUGAAGGAUGACUGCCCUAUGGGUUGUAAACUUCUUUUAUAUGGGAAUAAAGUGGGCCACGUGUGGCUUUUUGUAUGUACCAUACGAAUAAGGAGCGGCUAACUCCGUG